This 493-nucleotide ribosomal RNA is filed under the name uncultured bacterium. RNAcentral's name for it is "partial 16S ribosomal RNA". It matches the Rfam family "Bacterial small subunit ribosomal RNA", at positions 28 to 507 of the family's 1533-position model. The record is from RNAcentral.
GACGAACGCUGGCGGCGUGCUUAACACAUGCAAGUCGAACGGUGAAGCGCCUUCCUUUUUGGUGGGUGUGGAUGAGUGGCGAACGGGUGAGUAACACGUGAGUAACCUGCCCCCUUCUUCUGGAUAACCGCAUGAAAGUGUGGCUAAUACGGGAGAUUCUGGGUCUGUCGCAUGAUGGGUCUGGGAAAGAUAUUGUUUCGGUGGGGGAUGGGCUCGCGGCCUAUCAGCUUGUUGGUGGGUGAUGGCCUACCAAGGCGGUGACGGGUAGGCGGCCUGGGAGGGUGGACGGUCCCACUGCGACUGAGCCGCCCACACGACUCCUGCAGGCGGCAGCAGGGAGGAUUGUUGCACGGUGGGCGCCAUCCUGCUGCAGCGCCGCCGCGUGAGAGAUGGACGCCUUCGGGUUGUGAACCUCUUUCGCCAGUGAAGCAGGCCUGCCUCGUUUGUGGGUGGGUUGACGUUAGCUGGAGAAGAAGCGCCGGCUAACUACGUG